This 76-nucleotide transfer RNA is filed under the name Pseudobdellovibrionaceae bacterium. RNAcentral's name for it is "Bdellovibrionaceae bacterium (activated sludge metagenome) tRNA-Arg". It matches the Rfam family "tRNA". From Rfam's summary of the family: Transfer RNA (tRNA) molecules are approximately 80 nucleotides in length. Their secondary structure includes four short double-helical elements and three loops (D, anti-codon, and T loops). Lineage: Bacteria; Pseudomonadati; Bdellovibrionota; Bdellovibrionia; Bdellovibrionales; Pseudobdellovibrionaceae. The record is from RNAcentral.
GUCCUCAUAGCUCAACAGGAUAGAGCUACCGUUUCCUAAACGGUCGAUCCCUGUUCAAGUCGGGGUGAGGACACCA